AUAUAUCAAAACCACAAUUUUCUAAUUUACAAACUGUCUCAAUUAAGCAGAAAACAGUAAUACCUCUUAUACACUAUUAUUGCAAUAAAGCACACCAAUAAACAUAGAAGCUUACAGAUUCUCCUGAUUAUUUCAGGGAAAAGAAGAAAACAAAAUAUAAGCGACGUCAAAAUUUGUCCAAGUACACUAUAUCCUAGCAGGAAGUAAACAAACUCACUCUGCUUCUGCUGCUGCUGCAUCCCCACCAUUAAUUUCUUGGCUUCUUGUAUCUGGCAAGGUUCCCAAAUCUGUCCGAGCCUCUUUUUCCUCUUGAGAAACUGAAGAAUUUGAAGAAUCAACUGAAUCGUUCUGGGAAGAAUUAUUUGAGUCAUUCUGGCUGGCAUGUGUGUUGCUAUCUGUGUUUGAGGCUGCAUCUUUCUCUUUUUGGGAUGUUAAAGAGUCAGUGGAAACAACUUGCUCUUGG
This 463-nucleotide unclassified non-coding RNA is filed under the name Hevea brasiliensis (rubber tree). The record is from RNAcentral. Lineage: Eukaryota; Viridiplantae; Streptophyta; Magnoliopsida; Malpighiales; Euphorbiaceae.